RNAcentral lists this ribosomal RNA (432 nucleotides) under uncultured bacterium. Its description in RNAcentral is "partial 16S ribosomal RNA". It matches the Rfam family "Bacterial small subunit ribosomal RNA", at positions 29 to 506 of the family's 1533-position model. The record is from RNAcentral.
AACGAACGCUGGCGGCAUGCCUAACACAUGCAAGUCGAACGAUACCUUCGGGUCUAGUGGCGCACGGGUUCGUAACGCGUGGGAACCUUCCCUUAUGUUCGGCCUACCUCCCCGACAGGGGUUCUAAUACCGGAUAAUGUCUUCUGACCAAAGAUUUAUCGCCUUUGGUUGUGCCCGCGUUGGAUUAGCUCGUUGGUAGGGUAAAAGCCUACCAAGGCGACGAUCCAUAGCUGGUCUGAGAGGAUGAUCAGCCACACUGGGACUGAGACCCGGCCCAGACUCCUACGGGAGGCAGAAGUGGGGAAGAUGGGACAAUGGGCGAAAGCCUGAUCCAGCAAGGCCGCGGGAGUGAUGAAGGCGUUAGGGUUGUAAAGCUCUUUUACCCGGGAUGAUAAUGACAGUACCGGGAGAAUAAGCUCCGGCUAACUCCGU